CCUACGGGAGGCAGCAGUGGGGAAUAUUGCACAAUGGGGGAAACCCUGAUGCAGCGACGCCGCGUGAGCGAUGAAGUAUUUCGGUAUGUAAAGCUCUAUCAGCAGGGAAGAAAAUGACGGUACCUGACUAAGAAGCCCCGGCUAACUACGUGCCAGCAGCCGCGGUAAUACGUAGGGGGCAGGCGUUAUCCGGAUUUACUGGGUGUAAAGGGAGCGUAGACGGCGUGGCAAGCCAGAUGUGAAAGGCCGGGGCUCAACCCCGGGACUGCAUUUGGAACUGGGCUGCUAGAGUGCCGGAGAGGCAGGCGGAAUUCCUAGUGUAGCGGUGAAAUGCGUAGAUAUUAGGAGGAACACCGGUGGCGAAGGCGGCCUGCUGGAC
Molecule: ribosomal RNA, 379 nt
Filed under: uncultured bacterium
Lineage: Bacteria
Description: partial 16S ribosomal RNA
Rfam family: Bacterial small subunit ribosomal RNA
Source: RNAcentral